RNAcentral lists this non-coding RNA (208 nucleotides) under Alkalithermobacter paradoxus. Its description in RNAcentral is "Clostridium thermoalcaliphilum T-box sequence". It matches the Rfam family "T-box leader". From Rfam's summary of the family: Uncharged tRNA acts as the effector for transcription antitermination of genes in the T-box leader family. The record is from RNAcentral. Lineage: Bacteria; Bacillati; Bacillota; Clostridia; Peptostreptococcales; Tepidibacteraceae.
UAAAAUCCGAUGAAAGGAAGAGUAAGUAUAGCAACUAUUUCAGCGAGCUAGAGUUUGGUGUGAGUCUAGUAUUAGUCUAUAUUGAAAAGAGUCCUAGAGGAUAUUUUCUGAAAUAUUAGUAAGAAAAUACGGUAGCCACCGUUAAAGGUCAAUGAGUGGGCAAUAUGCCAAUAAGAGUGGUAACACGGGAUAAAAUCUCGUCUCUUAA